RNAcentral lists this ribosomal RNA (915 nucleotides) under uncultured bacterium. Its description in RNAcentral is "bacterial SSU rRNA". It matches the Rfam family "Bacterial small subunit ribosomal RNA", at positions 33 to 940 of the family's 1533-position model. The record is from RNAcentral.
ACGCUGGCGGCAGGCUUAACACAUGCAAGUCGAACGGUAACAGGAGAAAGCUUGCUUUCUUGCUGACGAGUGGCGGACGGGUGAGUAAUGCUUGGGAAUCUGGCUUAUGGAGGGGGAUAACGACGGGAAACUGUCGCUAAUACCGCGUAGAGUCGAGAGACGAAAGUGCGGGACCGCAAGGCCGCAUGCCAUAGGAUGAGCCCAAGUGGGAUUAGGUAAUUGGUGGGGUAAUAGCCUACCAAGCCGACGAUCUCUAGCUGGUCUGAGAGGAUGACCAGCCACACCGGGACUGAGACACGGCCCGGACUCCUACGGGAGGCAGCAGUGGGGAAUAUUGCGCAAUGGGGGCAACCCUGACGCAGCCAUGCCGCGUGAAUGAAGAAGGCCUUCGGGUUGUAAAGUUCUUUCGGUAUUGAGGAAGGUUGUUGUGUUAAUAGCACGACAAAUUGACGUUAAAUACAGAAGAAGCACCGGCUAACUCCGUGCCAGCAGCCGCGGUAAUACGGAGGGUGCGAGCGUUAAUCGGAAUAACUGGGCGUAAAGGGCACGCAGGCGGACUUUUAAGUGAGGUGUGAAAUCCCCGGGCUUAACCUGGGAAUUGCAUUUCAGACUGGGAGUCUAGAGUACUUUAGGGAGGGGUAGAAUUCACGUGUAGCGGUGAAAUGCGUAGAGAUGUGGAGGAAUGCCGAAGGCGAAGGCAGCCCCUUGGGAAUGUACUGACGCUCAUGUGCGAAAGCGUGGGGAGCAAACAGGAUUAGAUACCCUGGUAGUCCACGCUGUAAACGCUGUCGAUUUGGGGAUUGGGCCUUAAGCUUGGUGCCCGAAGCUAACGUGAUAAAUCGACCGCCUGGGGAGUACGGCCGCAAGGUUAAAACUCAAAUGAAUUGACGGGGGCCCGCACAAGCGGUGGAGCAU